GAUGAAGAACGCAGCGAAAUGCGAUAAGUAAUGUGAAUUGCAGAAUUCAGUGAAUCAUCGAAUCUUUGAACGCACCUUGCGCCCUUUGGCUAUUCCGAAGGGCAUGCCUGUUUGAGUAUCGUGAACACCUCAACUCUCAUGGUUUGCCAUGAUGAGCUUGGACUUUGGGGGUUUUGCUGGCCUUUGGUCGGCUCCUCUCAAACGGAUCAGCUUUCCAGUGUUUGGUGGCGUCACGGGUGUGAUAACUAUCUACGCUUGUGGUUUUCCACCAGGGUAACCUUCAGCAGUGGAGGUUCACUGGAGCUUACAAAUGUCUCUCCUCUGUGAGGACAGCCCUUUGAAUGUUUGAUCUCAAAUCAGGUAGGACUACCCGCUGAACUUAAGCAUAUCAAUAAGCGGAGGA
RNAcentral lists this unclassified non-coding RNA (403 nucleotides) under soil metagenome. Its description in RNAcentral is "partial contains 5.8S ribosomal RNA, internal transcribed spacer 2, and large subunit ribosomal RNA". The stretch from base 1 to 121 matches the Rfam family "5.8S ribosomal RNA", at positions 35 to 154 of the family's 154-position model. The record is from RNAcentral.